GAGGAGGAGGUGUCGCUCGCUGGAGGGGUUGAGGGGGCAGCGGAGCAGCCGUGUUCUGGAGAGGGAGUUUGGGAAUGUGAUUAUUCAGUUGCAAAAGUAAAGGACAGCUUCCCAGAGUCUGCAAAGGGAUAGGAGCAGUGUAUGAUAGCAGAUGCUUUCCAGUUUCAGAUAUGCUCCUAGAUACAGCCUCCAGCUUCUCUUUGUUCCGGCUGAUUAAGAUGAUGUUGACACCACGCUUUGCC
Calypte anna (Anna's hummingbird) is the source of this 242-nucleotide long non-coding RNA. RefSeq lists it as uncharacterized. The record is from RefSeq and is a predicted model, not a curated record. The transcript has 3 exons. Lineage: Eukaryota; Metazoa; Chordata; Aves; Apodiformes; Trochilidae.